Molecule: ribosomal RNA, 486 nt
Filed under: uncultured bacterium
Lineage: Bacteria
Description: bacterial SSU rRNA
Rfam family: Bacterial small subunit ribosomal RNA
Source: RNAcentral
AACGCCGCGUGUGGGAUGACGCCCUUCGGGGUGUAAACCACUUUUCUUGGGGACGAAGCAGUGACGGUACCCGAGGAAGAAGGCCCGGCUAACUACGUGCCAGCAGCCGCGGUAAUACGUAGGGGCCGAGCGUUGUCCGGAGUUACUGGGCGUAAAGCGCGCGCCGGCGGCUCAUCAAGCCUGACGUGAAAGCCCCCGGCUCAACCGGGGAGGGUCGUCGGGGACUGAUGGGCUUGAGGUCGGCAGGGGUUGGUGGAAUUCCCGGUGUAGUGGUGAAAUGCGUAGAGAUCGGGAGGAACACCCGUGGCGAAGGCGGCCAACUGGGCCGGACCUGACGCUGAGGCGCGAAGGCGUGGGGAGCGAACGGGAUUAGAUACCCCGGUAGUCCACGCAGUAAACGAUGCAGACUAGGCGUGGGGGGACUUGACCCCCUCCGUGCCGAAGCCAACGCAUGAAGUCUGCCGCCCUGCGAGACGGCGCACGUGG